Molecule: ribosomal RNA, 897 nt
Filed under: uncultured archaeon
Lineage: Archaea
Description: bacterial SSU rRNA
Rfam family: Archaeal small subunit ribosomal RNA
Source: RNAcentral
UUCCGGUUGAUCCCGCCGGACCUGACUGCUAUCGGAUUGAUACUAAGCCAUGCGAGUCUUUGUAGUAAUACAAGGCAUACGGCUCAGUAACACGUAGUCAACCUACCUUAUGGACGAGGAUAAUCUCGGGAAACUGAGGAUAAUACUCGAUAGACCAUCACUCCUGGAAUGGUUGGUGGUUGAAAUGAUUCGUCGCCAUAGGAUGGGACUGCGGCCUAUCAGCUUGUUGGUGAGGUAAUGGCUCACCAAGGCGAUUACAGGUACGGGCUCUGAGAGGAGAAGCCUGGAGAUGGGUACUGAGACACGGACCCAGGCCCUAUGGGGCGCAGCAGGCGAGAAAACUUUGCAAUGUGCGAAAGCACGACAAGGUUAAUCCGAGUGAUUUCUGCUAAAGGAAUCUUUUGCUAGUUCUAAAAAUACUAGUGAAUAAGGGGUGGGCAAGUUCUGGUGUCAGCCGCCGCGGCAAAACCAGCACCUCAAGUGGUCAGGAGGAUUAUUGGGCCUAAAGCAUCCGUAGCCUGCUCUUCAAGUUUUCGGUUAAAUCUAUACGCUUAACGUAUAGGCUGCCAAAAAUACUGUAGAGCUAGGGAGUGGGAGAGGUAGACGGUACUCGGUAGGAAGGGGUAAAAUCUUUUGAUCUAUUGAUGACCACCUGUGGCGAAGGCGGUCUACCAGAACAUGUUCGACGGUGAGGGAUGAAAGCUGGAGGAGCAAACCGGAUUAGAUACCCGGGUAGUCCCAGCUGUAAACGAUGCAGACUCGAUGAUGUAUUAGCAUAUAGCUAGUACAGUGUCGCAGGGAAGCCGUUAAGUCUGCCGCCUGGGAAGUACGUACGCAAGUAUGAAACUUAAAGGAAUUGGCGGGGGAGCACCACAAGGGGUGAAGCCUGCGGUUCAA